RNAcentral lists this unclassified non-coding RNA (2376 nucleotides) under Hevea brasiliensis (rubber tree). The record is from RNAcentral. Lineage: Eukaryota; Viridiplantae; Streptophyta; Magnoliopsida; Malpighiales; Euphorbiaceae.
UGAGGAGACCAGCAAAUUAUCACCUCUAUAACACUGAGUAGUGGGGGACACUGCUUAAUGCCUGUCGCAUUCAUGAAAAUACAGAGUCAGGUAAACAGAUAAGGAAAUUUCUAAUUGAAUUAGAUCCUUCCUGACCAUGCUGGCCGGCACAUUCAAUUGGCAAACAUUCAUGCUGCUGCAGGGGAAUGGGAUGUAGCGGCUGAAGCAAGAAGGCAUAUGAAAGAAUAUGGAGUAUCCAAACUUCCAGGAUGCAGCACAAUCAUUCUAGAUGGGGCUGUUCAUGGAUUUUUGGCUGGGGAUGGAUCCCAUCCUCAAAUGAAAGAGAUUUAUUGCAUGUGGUACAACAUAGCUGAACAACUAAGACAAGAAGGAUAUAAAACUGCAACACAGAAAUCUAUUACAUGAUAUCAAGGAUGAGGAGAAAGAAAUUGCCAUAAAUCAGCAUGGUGAGAAGCUGGUUAUUGAAUUUAGACAAUCAGUACAAAAUGAAUAACAGCAAUUUGGGUAGUUACGAAUCUGAGAAUGAGGACUGCCACAUGGUAAUGAAACUCAUUUCCCAGAUUUAUUAUAAGGAGAUUUUCAUGCAGGGUAGAACUCGUUUCUGCCUUUUCAGUGACAGGAAUUUUACGAGUGGUGAUUACUGGUGAAGAGAGUGAGAGGCAGCAUAAAAAUAGCAACCACAUUAUGUUCACCGCAAAAUCAAUGUAAAGAAUUUUCAUCUCAAUUAACAUAAAAUUGAAAUGACAUUGCAAAGAAAAUUAAGCCAUCAUGAUUUAUUGCUAAUACUGGAAAGCUUUUGCAAAACUGGAAGGGGAAUCAAAUGAAAAACAUCAAAAGGAUGGUUUUGUUCAAUAAACAAGGUAAAUAGCAGCUACCCUUCAACCAACGCUAACAUGCUGCUUAGCUGUCCAGGACUGCUUGGGUUCUAGCUUGACAUUUCCAAUCUGGGCAUUUUCAACACAAACAAAAUCUUUGUAACAUGCUUCCAUCUGUAGAUGUGGAUUCCACAGUACAGUAUCUGACCAAUUUUUAUUCUUGAUGGUUAUUACAUCACCCAAGCCAUUAUCAAGUUGCAGCUCAUCAGGCGCAUCAAGGUAAAUGCAAUCUACAAAGCCAGGGAAAGUGACCACAUCCCUGUCCUCUUUGCCCUCCAUCGGAUUGUUAGGAUCUGGAUCUUUAUUAAGUGUUUUGCAACCUUUCAAACCUUUUACAGAUGCUGCAGUCACAGAAGCACUGAAAUAUGAAUGUAGAGCUGCAGUAAAUGAAAACGGCUUGCUAUCUGUAUUUGUAAUCUUCAGUUCUGUGGAAAUGCUUUUUGCAUUAAGAAUGACCUUGUAUAAAGCCUGGAAACCAAAGUCCCACAUAGAAUGACUGUAAGGACCGUCCUUGAGCAUGAGAGUGACAGCAGGAUUGCCCUCCACAUUUUCGGAAUCAAUAACAGACCAAUCCAUAUUCCUUGCAAAUCCAUGCUGUUAAGUACAAAUGCCACCCAAAGCAUUAAAAAAAUGAUAAAAUGAAAAUAAAGAUCAAGACAGACGAAACCAGCCAAAGCUCUCACAAGAGAUAUAGACACAAGCUUUCACUAUUAUAGAGUAAUAGGAUGAACAUUGAUCAUCAUUUACUCCUACCAAGAAAACCAUAAAUCUCAAUAGCAGAACUAAAUAGCAGCAAAGAUUUCACUGCUAGCUUUACUGCAAUUACUGACAAACACAUUAAAUGGGCAAGAGGAAGAAAAAGGAAUGCCGGAAAUGAGAAUUAGAACAGUGAAAAAAAGGAAUACCUGCUGAAUACUACCAGGUCCAAACUGUGGGAAACAAUGUGGAAUUCCUCCACUAAUUCCAAUAAAGAUAUAAUCAGUACGUGAACUGGGAAGACAAUUGAAUCCAUAAAAACCAAAACACAAGAAAGAAGUUAAAAUUUGAAGAACCUUAUUGGUUUUUUCUUGUUAAAUACAGCAUCUGGUCUAACAAAAAGGAGGUCCUUCCCGCUGGGAACUUUCCAAGAUGUGAUGCAACCUCCAAAUAAAUAUAUCUCUGCCUCACUACCAUGAGGAGAAGUGAGCACAACCUUUGGCAAGCUACCUUCACCUUCAGUGACCCUUACUCCUACAGUCCCAGUUUCUUUGUUCACACUCGCAAAUGCCAUGCCAGAGUAUUUGUAUGGCCCGUUGACUCGGCGGAGAUUAAGAGCAGGUGUAGAAGAAAAAGGCAUAGAAAGCAUCGCCAUUGCGAAAAGGUCGGUGGCGGAGCUGAGCCCCUUUCAAGAACCCGUCUGGUCGUUUAUGUCCGUUACAGUUGUCACCAUUGGUCGUCUUCGCUAUUCCCUAUAUUCGCAUAUUCUUUUCGAUCCAUAUUGUUUUCCCCACUAGAAAAAAGA